RNAcentral lists this ribosomal RNA (289 nucleotides) under uncultured bacterium. Its description in RNAcentral is "partial 16S ribosomal RNA". It matches the Rfam family "Bacterial small subunit ribosomal RNA", at positions 28 to 314 of the family's 1533-position model. The record is from RNAcentral.
GACGAACGCUGGCGGCGUGCUUAACACAUGCAAGUCGAGCGGUAAGGCCCUUUCGGGGGUACACGAGCGGCGAACGGGUGAGUAACACGUGGGUGACCUGCCUUUAGCUCUGGGAUAAGCCCUGGGAAACCGGGUCUAAUACCGGAUAUGACCCUAUGGCGCAUGUUGUGGGGUGGAAAGCCUUGUGCGGCUAGGGGAUGGGCCCGNGGCCUAUCGAGCUUGUUGGUGGGGUNAUGGCCUACCGAAGGCGACGACGGGUAGCCGGCCUGAGAGGGCGACCGGCCACACU